Molecule: unclassified non-coding RNA, 442 nt
Filed under: Tetractomia tetrandra
Lineage: Eukaryota; Viridiplantae; Streptophyta; Magnoliopsida; Sapindales; Rutaceae
Description: partial external transcribed spacer
Source: RNAcentral
GAUGGUUGUGGUUGACAGGCUCCGUGCUCGUGCAUCGAACUGUUGACGCUCCAUCCACUUCAAUCUUCCCCCAAGUGAAGCUCUUUCCUUGUGGGUACGUGUGGUAUCCUGUGUUGCUUACCAAUGAAAUGGAAAUUGACCGUUUUGUUUUGCGGAUCCGCCUUGUGCCCUCUGGGGUGUUGGGUGGACUUGCAGCGAGCAUUGUGUUCCCAACAUGCCAAGUGCAUUUGUGUUUGGUUGUUGUGGACCAUGGUGUCUUUGCUUGUUCUCUCGGAUGCGGAAAGCUAAGUGUGGGCGUGAGGUCUCGGCCUUUAAUUGCCCAAGCACUGUCCUUUGUCUUGAAUGACUGCUGCGCUUGUCUUGAUCUUUCCGACCAAGGCCUCGUAAUGGGGCUUACUGGACGAGGGAGGAUCAUGCGAGUGUUGGCAUCAAAGAGGAAAGC